GACGAACGCUGGCGGCGUGCUUAACACAUGCAAGUCGAGCGGAAAACUUCGGUUUUCAGCGGCGGACGGGUGAGUAACACGUGGGCAACCUGCCUCACAAUGAGGGAUAGCCUUCCGAAAGGAAGAUUAAUACCUCAUAACACAAGAGAAACGCAUGUUUCUCUUGCCAAAGAAUUUCGUUGUGAGAUGGGCCCGCGGCGCAUUAGCUUGUUGGUGAGGUAACGGCUCACCAAGGCUUCGAUGCGUAGCCGACCUGAGAGGGUGAUCGGCCACAUUGGAACUGGGACACGAUCCAGACUCCUAGGGGAGGCAGGAGUGGGGAAUAUUGCACAAUGGAGGAAACUCUGAUGCAGCACCGCCGCGUGAGGGAUGAAGGUCUUCGGAUUGUAAAACUCUGUCUCCUGGGACGAUAAUGACGGUACCAGAGGAGGAAGCCACGGCUAACUACGUGCCAGCCGCCGCGGUAA
This 467-nucleotide ribosomal RNA is filed under the name uncultured bacterium. Its description in RNAcentral is "partial 16S ribosomal RNA". It matches the Rfam family "Bacterial small subunit ribosomal RNA", at positions 28 to 523 of the family's 1533-position model. The record is from RNAcentral.